RNAcentral lists this ribosomal RNA (465 nucleotides) under uncultured bacterium. Its description in RNAcentral is "partial 16S ribosomal RNA". It matches the Rfam family "Bacterial small subunit ribosomal RNA", at positions 338 to 795 of the family's 1533-position model. The record is from RNAcentral.
CCUACGGGGUGCUGCAGUGGGGAAUAUUGCGCAAUGGGCGAAAGCCUGACGCAGCGACGCCGCGUGAGGGAUGAAGGUCUUCGGAUCGUAAACCUCUGUCAGCAGGGAAGAACGGUCACUGUGCUAAUCAGCAGUGAAUUGACGGUACCUGCAAAGGAAGCACCGGCUAACUCCGUGCCCGCAGCCGCGGUAAUACGGAGGGUGCGAGCGUUAAUCGGAAUUACUGGGCGUAAAGCGCUCGUAGGCGGUAUGUCAAGUCAAGGGUGAAAUCCCCGCGCUCAACGUGGGAACUGCCUUGGAAACUGGCAAACUGGAGUGUGUGAGAGGAUAGUGGAAUUCCAGGGGUAGGAGUGAAAUCCGUAGAUAUCUGGAGGAACAUCAGUGGCGAAGGCGACUAUCUGGCACAUAACUGACGCGGAGGAGCGAAAGCGUGGGUAGCAAACAGGAUUAGAUACCCGUGUAGUC